RNAcentral lists this ribosomal RNA (429 nucleotides) under uncultured bacterium. RNAcentral describes it as "bacterial SSU rRNA". It matches the Rfam family "Bacterial small subunit ribosomal RNA", at positions 355 to 775 of the family's 1533-position model. The record is from RNAcentral.
UGGGGAAUUUUCCGCAAUGGGCGAAAGCCUGACGGAGUGACGCCGCGUGUGGGACGAAGGCCUUCGGGUCGUAAACCACUGUCAGUGGGAAAGACGGGUGUCGGCGCGAUAACCGCCGGCAUCUGACGGUACCUGCAGAGGAAGCCCCGGCCAACUCUGUGCCAGCAGCCGCGGUAAGACAGAGGGGGCAAGCGUUGCUCGGAAUUACUGGGCGUAAAGGGCGCGUAGGCGGGACGGAAAGUCGGUCGUGAAAUCCUCCGGCUCAACCGGAGAACGGCGAUCGAUACUUCCGUUCUUGAGGGUUGCAGAGGAGACUGGAAUUCCCGGUGUAGCGGUGAAAUGUGUAGAGAUCGGGAGGAACACCGGUGGCGAAGGCGGGUCUCUGGGCAACUCCUGACGCUGAGGCGCGAAAGCGUGGGGAGCAAACGG